AAACCAGCACCUCAAGUGGUCAGGAGGAUUAUUGGGCCUAAAGCAUCCGUAGCCUGUUCUGUAAGUUUUCGGUUAAAUCUGUACGCUCAACGUACAGGCUGCCGGGAAUACUGCAGAGCUAGGGAGUGGGAGAGGUAGACGGUACUCGGGAGGAAGUGGUAAAAUGCUUUGAUCUUUCGAUGACCACCUGUGGCGAAGGCGGUCUACCAGAACACGUCCGACGGUGAGGGAUGAAAGCUGGGGGAGCAAACCGGAUUAGAAACCCCAGUAGUCC
RNAcentral lists this ribosomal RNA (274 nucleotides) under uncultured bacterium. RNAcentral describes it as "partial 16S ribosomal RNA". It matches the Rfam family "Archaeal small subunit ribosomal RNA", at positions 473 to 747 of the family's 1478-position model. The record is from RNAcentral.